CAGCAGCCGCGGGAAUACGUAGGGUGCAAGCGUUAAUCGGAAUUACUGGGCGUAAAGCGUGCGCAGGCGGUUAUAUAAGACAGAUGUGAAAUCCCCGGGCUCAACCUGGGAACUGCAUUUGUGACUGUAUAGCUAGAGUACGGCAGAGGGGGAUGGAAUUCCGCGUGUAGCAGUGAAAUGCGUAGAUAUGCGGAGGAACACCGAUGGCGAAGGCAAUCACCUGGGCCUGUACUGACGCUCAUGCACGAAAGCGUGGGGAGCAAACAGGAUUAGAUACCCGUGUAGUCCCUGUCUCUUAUAA
Molecule: ribosomal RNA, 301 nt
Filed under: uncultured bacterium
Lineage: Bacteria
Description: partial 16S ribosomal RNA
Rfam family: Bacterial small subunit ribosomal RNA
Source: RNAcentral